This is a long non-coding RNA of Clupea harengus (Atlantic herring), 494 nucleotides long. Lineage: Eukaryota; Metazoa; Chordata; Actinopteri; Clupeiformes; Clupeidae. The record is from Ensembl.
AGGAGGGGGAGGGGGAGGGGAGCAGAGCGCGAUAGAGCUAUUAGCUCGGCUGCAGCAGAUAUCAUUCAACUAGUAGAGGGGAGACGCUUCCACCGUCAGCGGCACAGGAGGGACAGGGAGCCCCGGCAGCACGCACGCAAGAGAGGCACAGACUCCAAAGCCCCUAUCACCGCACAGGAAUGCUGAAAGCACUCGGAGACGGACAGACGCGGAUCGAAAGAGUGGGAAUAUCGGGUGGUCCCCUCACGGAGCAGACGGGCGGAUCCAGACAGACGGGUCGCAGCAGAACCAGCCGGAUCCUCACCUCCAACUGAACCCUGCCCAAGGACCACACCCGCCUCCUCAUCUCAGGUAGAGCUGGGGCCCUGUGAGUGUGCUGUGCUGCGUCUGUGAAGACCCCCCAUGGGCCGUACCACUCGCUAAGGUUCUGGAGGGGGAGCGGAACUGCUUAAUGAGGUAAGCCGCCAUUACGGAUCAAUAACUGCUAUCUCUGG